GAUGAAGAACGCAGCGAAAUGCGAUAAGUAAUGUGAAUUGCAGAAUUCAGUGAAUCAUCGAAUCUUUGAACGCACAUUGCGCCCGCCAGUAUUCUGGCGGGCAUGCCUGUUCGAGCGUCAUUACAACCCUCAGGCCCCCGGGCCUGGCGUUGGGGAUCGGCGGAGCCCCCCGUGGGCACACGCCGUCCCCCAAAUGCAGUGGCGGUCCCGCCGCAGCUUCCAUCGCGUAGUAGCUAACACCUCGCGACUGGAGUGCGGCGCGGCCACGCCGUAAAACACCCAACUCUUCUGAAGUUGACCUCGAAUCAGGUAGGAAUACCCGCUGAACUUAAGCAUAUCAAUAAGCGGAGGA
Molecule: unclassified non-coding RNA, 352 nt
Filed under: soil metagenome
Description: partial contains 5.8S ribosomal RNA, internal transcribed spacer 2, and large subunit ribosomal RNA
Rfam family: 5.8S ribosomal RNA (bases 1-120)
Source: RNAcentral